RNAcentral lists this transfer RNA (65 nucleotides) under marine eukaryotic metagenome. It matches the Rfam family "tRNA", at positions 5 to 66 of the family's 71-position model. From Rfam's summary of the family: Transfer RNA (tRNA) molecules are approximately 80 nucleotides in length. The record is from RNAcentral.
UCUUAGCUCAGUUGGCAGAGCAUCGGACUUUUAAUCCGCAGGUCGUGGGUUCGAAUCCCACAGAG